Molecule: ribosomal RNA, 433 nt
Filed under: uncultured bacterium
Lineage: Bacteria
Description: partial 16S ribosomal RNA
Rfam family: Bacterial small subunit ribosomal RNA
Source: RNAcentral
AGCGAACGCUGGCGGCAAGCCUAACACAUGCAAGUCGAACGAACUCUUCGGAGUUAGUGGCGGACGGGUGAGUAACACGUGGGAACGUGCCUUUUGGUUCGGAAUAACUCAGGGAAACUUGUGCUAAUACCGAAUGUGCCCUUCGGGGGAAAGAUUUAUCGCCAUUAGAGCGGCCCGCGUCUGAUUAGCUAGUUGGUGAGGUAACGGCUCACCAAGGCGACGAUCAGUAGCUGGUCUGAGAGGAUGACCAGCCACACUGGGACUGAGACACGGCCCAGACUCCUACGGGAGGCAGCAGUGGGGAAUCUUGCGCAAUGGGCGAAAGCCUGACGCAGCCAUGCCGCGUGAAUGAUGAAGGUCUUAGGAUUGUAAAAUUCUUUCACCGGGGACGAUAAUGACGGUACCCGGAGAAGAAGCCCCGGCUAACUUCGUG